This 64-nucleotide transfer RNA is filed under the name Micropygomyia cayennensis. RNAcentral's name for it is "tRNA-Phe". The record is from RNAcentral. Lineage: Eukaryota; Metazoa; Arthropoda; Insecta; Diptera; Psychodidae.
AUUUAAAUAGCUUAAAUUAGAGCGUAAUAUUGAAGCUAUUAAAGUGAUCUUUGAUCUUUAAAUA